UUAAUCCUGAGAUGUGCGUGGCUUAAUAUGUUCAACCUACGAAAUAAUAACGGGAUUUUCAUCAAUCAUAAUGUGUCAAGCUCCAGCAGCAUAGGCUGUAUUGGAUUUCCAAGAUGGAGACGACUGAGGUAUGAUGAGAAGAACCCACCUGCAAGAUAGCAGGUUGUGAACAUUUAGGAUCACGGCAUAUUGGGAACGAG
This 200-nucleotide non-coding RNA is filed under the name Clostridium sp. 19966. RNAcentral describes it as "6S RNA". It matches the Rfam family "6S / SsrS RNA". From Rfam's summary of the family: E. coli 6S RNA was the first non coding RNA to be sequenced, but its function was unknown until recently. It consists of 184 nucleotides that fold into an extended hairpin structure with a large single-stranded internal bulge. The 6S RNA specifically associates with RNA polymerase holoenzyme containing the sigma70 specificity factor. Lineage: Bacteria; Bacillati; Bacillota; Clostridia; Eubacteriales; Clostridiaceae. The record is from RNAcentral.